RNAcentral lists this small nucleolar RNA (109 nucleotides) under Kwoniella mangroviensis CBS 10435. Its description in RNAcentral is "Small nucleolar RNA Z13/snr52". It matches the Rfam family "Small nucleolar RNA Z13/snr52". From Rfam's summary of the family: Z13 or snr52 is a member of the C/D class of snoRNA which contain the C (UGAUGA) and D (CUGA) box motifs. Most of the members of the box C/D family function in directing site-specific 2'-O-methylation of substrate RNAs. Lineage: Eukaryota; Fungi; Basidiomycota; Tremellomycetes; Tremellales; Cryptococcaceae. The record is from Rfam by way of RNAcentral.
CCCCUUCUCAUGAUGAAGCAUUUUUCGGAUGUAAAGUGUCCUACGGGACCGAUGUCCGAGAGCGCAAAAAAGUGUGGACACCUCCGUUGCCUUCCUUCUGAUCUCUACU